This 461-nucleotide ribosomal RNA is filed under the name uncultured bacterium. RNAcentral describes it as "SSU rRNA". It matches the Rfam family "Bacterial small subunit ribosomal RNA", at positions 26 to 518 of the family's 1533-position model. The record is from RNAcentral.
AGGACUAACGCUGGCGGCGUGCCUAACACAUGCAAGUCGAACGAGGUAGCAAUACCUAGUGGCAGACGGGUGAGUAACACGUAGUCAACCUUCCCGAUAGUGGGGGAUAACUAGCCGAAAGGUUAGCUAAUACCGCAUACGAUCUUCGAGUGGCAUCAUUUGAAGAUGAAAGGAGCAAUCCGCUUUCGGACGGGACUGCGUCCCAUUAGCUAGAUGGUGGGGUAAUGGCCUACCAUGGCAACGAUGGGUAGCUGGUUUGAGAGAGCGACCAGCCACACUGGGACUGAGAAACGGCCCAGACUCCUACGGAGGCAGCAGUGAGGAAUUUUCCGCAAUGGGCGAAAGCCUGACGGAGCGACGCCGCGUGUGGGAAGAAGGCCUUCGGGUCGUAAACCACUGUCGAAGGGAAAUACUGAUGGUACCCUUGGAGGAAGCCCGGCUAACUACGUGCCAGCAGCCGC